This 113-nucleotide non-coding RNA is filed under the name Cupriavidus sp. RNAcentral describes it as "SAM-I-IV sequence". It matches the Rfam family "SAM-I/IV (S-adenosyl methionine) riboswitch aptamer". Rfam says of the family: It is found upstream of a number of genes which code for proteins involved in methionine or cysteine biosynthesis. It has been found mostly in the order Actinomycetales. Lineage: Bacteria; Pseudomonadati; Pseudomonadota; Betaproteobacteria; Burkholderiales; Burkholderiaceae. The record is from RNAcentral.
CGCCCACAUUCUGAUUUGGGUCGACGCCCAUGCCAACCUGCCUACCCGGGCAAGGUGGAUCGCGAGAGCGGAUGUGGUUCCCUGGUCGUUGGGGAACAACCAAGCGGGCACUG